GACGAACGCUGGCGGCGUGCUUAACACAUGCAAGUCGAACGGUGAGGCCCCAGCUUGCUGGAGUGGAUCAGUGGAAAAGGGGUGAGUAACACGUGAGAACCCUGCCCCUCACCGUGGUAUACGCGCUGGAAACGGCGUCUAAUACGGGAUACGAGAAGGGUCCGCAUGGGCACUUUCUGGAAAGUUUUUCGGUGGCGGCUGGGCGCGCGACCUCUCAGCUUGUUGGGGAGGGAAUGGCCAACCAAGGCGGCGACGGGUGGCCGGCCUGAGGGGUCGGACAGCCACAUUGGGGCUGAGAUGCGGCCCGGACUCCUACGGGAGGCAGCAGUGGGGAGUAUUGCACAAUGGGCGCCAGCCUGAUGCAGCGACGCCGCGUGGGGGAUGACGGCCUUCGGGUUGUACACUCCUUUCGCUAGGGACGAAGCUUUUUGUGACGGUACCUAGAUAAGAAGCACCGGCUAACUACGUG
RNAcentral lists this ribosomal RNA (469 nucleotides) under uncultured bacterium. RNAcentral describes it as "partial 16S ribosomal RNA". It matches the Rfam family "Bacterial small subunit ribosomal RNA", at positions 28 to 507 of the family's 1533-position model. The record is from RNAcentral.